UUCAAAUUCUCGGAGCAUUGCGCGUGCUUCUGUUGUGCGGGCUGAUGCGAAGCAUUCUGGGAAGUGUCUCCCAGGUGGUUUCUGUUAGCAUCCGCUCCCCUUGUCCUCCCUUGAGUCUCCUCUCUCCCACACCUUCCUCGACUGAUGCCUGGAUCUGGAGCCUGACCUCUCAACAAGGACUGAGUGGAAGGUGAGGUCCUGACUCCUUCAGCAAGGCUCCUGAAGCAACAGAGAGACAAGGCUUGGGAUGCUGGCUGUGGGGUGAGGCUGGGUUCAGGAACCCCACCUGCCUCUGCUUUCACCUGCGCGUGGGUGCAAAGCUGCCAUCUUUGUUGGUAAGAAUGCCCUAAAACACCAGGUACCUCACCGAGGGAGUUGCCUGCGCAUGUUCAUUUGCUUCCCAUCAUAAUCUUGGGACCGACGUUCUAUCUCUGUCCUUUUUAUAGGCAAGGAUGCGCACAGCAGCUUAGGUGUUGGGACCGAGGCCACACAGUAGCUUCUCCUUUGCAGGGAUGUGUGAGGAACUUUCGUGGGGCAGUGUGCUAGCAUGCAUGUGCUACUCGGGGUCCCGGUGUGCCAAACGCUAGCACAUUUCUAGCCCUUAUAACGACUUUUGAGAUAGGGUCUCACUGUGUGAUCCAGGCCAACUUGAACUGAGAGCAAUCCUCCUGCUUCAGUCUCUCCUGAAUGCUAGAAUUGCAGGUGUGUGACAUCCUACCAAGCUCUUGUUUCUGUCCAGCAGUGAUAACUCCUGUAGUCUGUUAAUUCAAAUUACAUUGAUUAUAAUGAUGUGAUUACCUGCAUCUCACAGAGGCAGAGACUUUAUUCCGUUGUCUCUGUAUCUACGGGUAGUCUUUCAUGGCUCUCCUCUUAACUGGACGGGUUUGCAGACCUUAUGUCUUUGGAAGCUAGCCACCCACGCAGCCUGCUUUUUAGAGUGCUGAUGUGAGCACCAUUUUCUACUGUCUCAGGGUGAAAGGCAGAUUCAGAGACAAGAGAAGGGUGACUGCUGGAAGCACAACGGUUGUAUGUGUAGCUGGGCAGGUCGCUCUUGGCCACGUGCUGGCAGCUGCCGGGGUGCAUGGUGUUUGAGUCAGCCUCCCUGAGGAAGGAACACAGUGGCCGUCUACUGAAGGCAGCCACUGCGCUGCUCAUACCCUGGCCGGGCUCUCAUGGUUUUUUUCUUUUCACUUCUUUCACUGUGCCUUCUUAAGACCCAGCC
This 1222-nucleotide long non-coding RNA is filed under the name Mus spicilegus (steppe mouse). RNAcentral's name for it is "lncRNA (ENSMSIG00000000656.1)". The record is from RNAcentral. Lineage: Eukaryota; Metazoa; Chordata; Mammalia; Rodentia; Muridae.